UGGCUCAGAAUAAGCGCUGGCGGCGUGCCUAACACAUGCAAGUCGAGCGAGAAAGGUCUUCGGAUCGAGUAAAGCGGCGAACGGGUGAGUAAAGCGUGAGAAUCUGCCCUUCAGUGAAGAAUAUCUUCGAGAAAUCGGAGUUAAUACUGCAUACGUCCCUUCGGGGAGAAAGAUGGCCUCUUUGCUGUCGCUGAUUGAUGAGCUUACGUACUAUUAGCUAGUUGGUGGGGUAAAGGCCUACCAAGGCGAUGAUGGUUAGCCGGCCUGAGAGGGUGAUCGGCCACACUGGAACUUAGAUACGGUCCAGACUCCUACGGGAGGCAGCAGUGAGGAAUCUUGCGCAAUGGGCGAAAGCCUGACGCAGCGACGCCGCGUGGAGGAUGAAGGUCUUAGGAUCGUAAACUUCUGUUAAGCGGGAAGAAAGAACCAAUUUUAAUAGAAUUGGGUGAUGACGGUACCGUUAAAGAAAGCACCGGCUAACUUCGUGCCAGCAGCCGCGGUAAGACGAGGGGUGCGAGCGUUAUUCGGAAUGAUUGGGCGUAAAGGGUGCGCAGACGGUUUGUUAAGUCAAUUGUUAAAUUUCCUGGCCUAACUGGGAGCAAGCGAUUGAUACUAGCAGGCUAGAGGGUGGAAGAGAGAAGUGGAAUUCUCGGAGUAGCGGUAAAAUGCGUAGAUCUCGAGGGGAACACCGAUGGCGAGGCAGCUUCUUGGUCCAUUUCUGACGUUCAUGCACGAAAGCGUGGGUAGCAAACAGGAUUAGAUACCCUGGUAGUCCACGCUGUAAACGAUGAUCACUAGACGUUAAUUGCGCGUAAGCGCACUUAGUGUCGUAGCUAACGCGUUAAGUGAUCCGCCUGGGGCGUACGGUCGCAAGAUUAAAACUCAAAGGAAUUGACGGGGGUCCGCACAAGCGGUGGAACAUGUGGUUUAAUUCGACACUACGCGAGGAACCUUACCUAGGUUUGACAUAUACUCGACCGUUGUAGAAAUACAAUUUUUCAAGUGAAAGCUUGAACGAGUAAACAGGUGCUGCAUGGCUGUCGUCAGCUCGUGUCGUGAGAUGUUGGGUUAAGUCCUUUAACGAGCGCAACUCCUGUUGUUAGUUGCUACUCCGCAAGGAGGCACUCUAAUGAGACUGCCCGGGAGACCGGGAGGAAGGUGGGAAUGACGUCAAGUCCGCAUGGUCCUUAUGCCUAGGGCGACACACGUGUUACAAUGGUUGGUACAAAGGGUCGCAAAUCUGCAAAGAUGAGCCAAUCUCAUAAAGCCAAUCUAAGUUCGGAUUGAGGUCUGCAACUCGACCUCAUGAAGUUGAAAUCGCUAGUAAUCGCGUAUCAGAACGACGCGGUGAAUACGUUCUCGGACCUUGUACACACCGCCCGUCAAGCCAUGAAAGCUUUUUGCACCCAAAGUCAUCUUAGCUGACCUGUAAAGGAGGCGGGUGCCUAAGGAGUGGGAAGCGAUUGGGGCUAAGUCGUAACAAGGUAACC
RNAcentral lists this ribosomal RNA (1490 nucleotides) under uncultured bacterium. RNAcentral's name for it is "16S ribosomal RNA". It matches the Rfam family "Bacterial small subunit ribosomal RNA". The record is from RNAcentral.